UACGGAGAGUGCAAACGUUGUUCGGAUUCACUGGGCGUAAAGGGCACGUAGGCGGCUCGGCAAAUCGGUCGUGGAAUCCAGACGCUUACCGUCUGAACGGCGGCCGAAAAUACCGGGCUCGAGGGCGUGAGGGGUCACUGGAACUCCUGGUGAAGCGGUGAAAUGCGUAGAGAUCGGCAGGAACACCCAGGGGGAAACCAGUCGACUGGGCAUCUACUGACGCUGAGGUGCGAGAGCGUGGGGAGCGAACCGG
Molecule: ribosomal RNA, 253 nt
Filed under: uncultured bacterium
Lineage: Bacteria
Description: partial 16S ribosomal RNA
Rfam family: Bacterial small subunit ribosomal RNA
Source: RNAcentral